GUUUUAAUAGUUUAAAAAAAAUAAUGAUCUUGUAAAUCAUAGUUAAAAAAUUUUUUUAAAACU
RNAcentral lists this transfer RNA (63 nucleotides) under Helopeltis sp. Its description in RNAcentral is "tRNA-Thr". Lineage: Eukaryota; Metazoa; Arthropoda; Insecta; Hemiptera; Miridae. The record is from RNAcentral.